CUGAGGCAGCUAUCUCUGUGUCUGGUGCUCAAGCUUGAAGUUCACAGGGAGGGCAGCUGGAAGGGAAGAAGGUUAUAAAAUGGGAGAGAACAAGAAGAAGCCGGAACCCACAAUUGCAAGAUGGAGCCUGCAAGAAGAGACUGAAACUCAGCUUCCUUCUUACUGCUCCCGUCCUUGAUGGUGUGCCCUACGGAAGCUGGGGCGUUCAUGGAACAGAAGUCAGAGACUGAAGGAGGAUUCCAGGAAGGGUAGACCAGCAGCAUGCCUGGCUGGCCUGGAGGUGCAGCCGUGGACUACUGUUGACAGAAGGUCAUGGAAACCUUGGAAAGAAGAACCAUGGUUGUGAGGAAGAUUGUAUAUUUUCACCAGAAGUCAGGGAGGAAGAUGAAGAGGGAAAAAGAAGGUGCGCUCAAAACCUCUGAUUUACAUUGGGGACAGUGAGCCUUGUUGGUGGGACGUGACUAGGUGACGGGUUGGGAGGCCAUGUGGGGCAGCCUUCUGCCAACUUUGGGUGUACGCUCUUGGAAUCUAGGACAGUCUUCUUUUGCUUACUCACCUUCUGUCCAAGCUCAGCAGCUAGCAGAAGAGCAUGGGCCCGUCCUGGAGGUCACUGUGCAGUCACACGGGAUGCCUGCCCUUCUGCCUCAUUCAAAAUAGCAACCUACAAACUACCCCUUGUCAACAUCUUUAAGGAUCGCUUUCUCCAGAGUGGCAGAUGCCAUCUGUAAUGGGAUGAGUAGAAUCUUCCCAAAAUUCACAUGUGGGAAGUCCUGAGCUUCAGGACCUCAGAAUGGGACUGUUUUGAAGAGAGGAUUUUGAAAGAGGUCAUUAAGGUAAAAUGAAGUCAUAUGGAUGGACCCUAAUCCAGUAUGACUGGUGUCUUCACAAGAAGAGGAGAUUAGGAUACAGACACACACAGAAGGACAACCAUGUGAGGACACAGGGAGAAGAUGGCCAUCUGUAAGCCAAGGAGAGAGGCCCCAAGGGAAACAACCCUGUGAUACCUUGAUCUCAGACUUCCAGCCUCAAGAGCUGUGGUGGAUCAGGUUCUGUGGAAACAGCCUCUCUGUGCAACUUUGUUAUGGCGGCCUGAACUGGUCAAUGUACCAUCUGAGGUUGUACAAAGGCAUUUCCUUGAGCCCAAAGCAGAGGACUUGAAGCCCAGGGCUGCUUUGCCCUGGUCUCCUGGAACCAUCAUUUAAAUGUGGUCACUUCCCUACUUGCUCCUCUCCACGCAGAAGAAUAAAACCUGUAUCCUUUGGCCUGGCUGAUGUGACUGAGACCCUCUCGUUCCCUCCACUUGAAUAUUGUCCUCACUGCUCUUUGUCUCCUGUGCUCCAGAUUCAGCCUUUUCCUGUCCCUCAAAUGUUCCUGAUGCCUUGAGGCUGCUGCCUUUGCUGCCCCUGGUGUGAAACAUGAAUCCUUGCAUGUCCCCUGAGCUCCUGAUGCAAGUCUGCUCCAAUGUCAGCCCUGCCCUUGGAAAGGUUUUCCCACAUAAGGACACUGAGUCGCACCCCUACUCAUUCCUGAGCAGAUCUCACCGUCAUUUGCUGUUACCUUUUCUAUUUAUUUCUUUGCUUCCAUCCCCCCAACUACAGGCUCUGCUUCCUGACUCAGUGCUCUGUCAGCAAGAACAAUGGGACAAUUUCUGAUAGGUAUUGCUGAGUCGUCCUCUGGAGAUUAUACCCAUUUGCCCUUCCAAUAGCAUACUUUGGAGUAUGCCUGUGUUCUCCAACCUUUGCAAGGACUGCUGGAUCGUCCUCAUGUCAGGUUCCCAUAGCUGUCUCAUGCCACAGCCUUGGGUCACCAUUCCCCAUCUUUGUUGGUUCUUGGUCGCCCUCUGCAUCAAGUCCUAACUCAGUGUCCAAUCUGCUCAUUCCCUCCUACCCCUCUUCAAAAUCACUCCAUCAUCCUCCCACUUCCAUCCCAAUUUCUGCAGGAAGCAGUGACUUUGAAUUUCUCAGAAGGAAUCAGCUAACUUUAAGGUGCUGUGACUUGAUAACCUCAGCUGUCCACCUGCUUCUUAGGAACAGCACGUGUUCCAAAUUUCCUGUGUUUUCUGCUUUCAUCUUUACAGUAACCAAGGAGAAGUUACAACAUUUCCUAUUUUGCACUUGGAAGUCAGAGAGCUACCGAAUGCAUGAACAGGAUGGGAAUAUAUUCCCUUCUGUGCACUUAUGACUUCAUUCGCCCCAGUACGUGGGAUGCACUGUGCAAACCAAGGAUGCAAUUUAAAACAGGACCACCAGUCUCUGACCUGUGCAGUUGGAGUAGGGAGCACCAA
This is a long non-coding RNA of Sciurus carolinensis (gray squirrel), 2284 nucleotides long. RefSeq lists it as uncharacterized. The transcript has 4 exons. NCBI's taxonomy places the organism in Eukaryota, Metazoa, Chordata, Mammalia, Rodentia, Sciuridae. The record is from RefSeq and is a predicted model, not a curated record.